Long non-coding RNA from Ooceraea biroi (clonal raider ant), 21805 nucleotides. RefSeq lists it as uncharacterized. The record is from RefSeq and is a predicted model, not a curated record. NCBI's taxonomy places the organism in Eukaryota, Metazoa, Arthropoda, Insecta, Hymenoptera, Formicidae.
UAUUGCUUCAUUGUACUUGCACUUUUUUAAAUUGUCACAUUUUUACUAAAAGAUAUUAGAUCACUUUAGCACGACUGUAUAGUCACGAGUUAUUUUUCACUUUUAUUAUGUAUUAACCCUUUAACUACGGGUAAAAAGACUAUAUAAGUCGCUUAUUGACGACUGCCGGAGUUAAAGGGUUAAUCAUCCUACUAAAAGUCAAGCAAUGUUCGAUUUGCUGCUUGUUCGAUAUGGAUGCUAUGUUGUUAGCUUCCCUAAGCUAUAUAGUAUAUUUUAAACCUUAAGUUUAGCAUUAAAACCCACUAAACGGCGGAAAAAUUUGAAUUAAAAGCGCAGUUAUAAUUGAGGUAAUAUAAAGGCAAAAUAAAGAUAAAGGCACCAAAUUAAUUUGUUCAUCUAAUCCUAUUUCACUGUGAUGCAUCGUACCUGAGCACGUAAACUUUAAACCAUAGUAUAACUAGUAGGGGCACUCUGUCAUUUGUUUCGCUUUGCGUCGAUCCCUUCUGCGCAUCGCCAUGUUUUUGCGACCAAUGAGACAAUUGUUGUGUGUGUAGUAGUGUAAAAUCAGUGAGUGUGUGACACGCUUUGACGAAUCAAACGCUAGAUGACUUAUCGAAAAUAAUGGCAGACCCACUAAAUGGCGGAAUACUACGUGAUCGAGAACGAAAAGAUCAAAGGGCCGACAGAGAGUGACCAUACUGGUUAUAUUGUGCUUUAGACAAUCUGAUUGGUUAUAACUUUAAAUGUUCUAAAAACUUCAAUGUUUUAAUAUAACAAAACUUUUGCAAAUCCAUAUUUUUCAAGAAUCUACUACUAUUUGAUAGAUAAUCCGCAAAGUCUGGAACAAUACAAAAUUUAGUAUUCUAAUAUAAAUUUAAGCUUGAAAAUCGUGGCUGUGCUUAAAGUUCUUUUGUUAUUCAAGGAAUGGAAGGAUUUCUGUCUAGUGAACAAAAUGUAAAUUAUAGAAUUUUGAAAUGUCUUCAAAAUUUACGUUUCUAUAUUAUUUCUCGGUGAUAUCUUGUUGAGCUACAACGUGCAUAUAGAGAAGUGUUCGUUACACGAAGGGCGAACAUCCGACAGCUGCAUCUUGCCGUUGCGUUUGCGUCGUGCGGUGGCACGAUGUGCCUACACUUGCAUUAGUGCAAUGAUGGUCUGUCAUGGCGUGGUAGAGGAGCAAGGGGAUGUUCUUAAAGUAAAAGAGAAGGAUAGAAGAAGAAGGGGGAAAGGAUUUCUUUGUCCUCAUCAAGGAUCUUACGGCAGUACUGACCUGUUUCGAGGCAAUGGCGUAUUGCCUAAAAUUAUCGAGUAUCCUAUAUUGCUGCAUAUAUGUAAUUUCUUUGAAAUAUGCUGCUUCGUAUAGUAAUAUUAUAAUAUUAUUUAACAUUAUUAAAAAUUGUAUGCAUGAAAACCUGAUAAUCAAUGUAAUGACAAACAUAAUGCAAAUAAGAAAUGAUAAAAUAGAAUAUGAACUUCUAAAAGCAAUAACAACUUGUUGCCACUGAAAAUUUAUACCGAUCUGUAAGUUUUCAAGUAAUUAUAGUUUAAAAUCCUACGCUAUAUAUUAAACUGUAGUAAAACAAAACGAAAAUUUACAAAAUUAAUACAGAAAAUCUCUCUUUAAAAUUUCAGAAACUUUUUCUCUGCAACAAUAGAUGCUGUCACGCAUAAAUAAAUGUUUAUUAAAUUUUUAUAUUUGCAUAAAUGCAUACAUUCCUGUUUCAAAAAUCAUCUGUAUCUGGUAAAUUGUCUAAAUCUGCUUCAAAGAAAUAACGUUGCUACGCCAUUGUGAACUUAUUUUUCUCGCGAUAUAGCAAGGGGCCCGCCGAAACUAGCAAACUGGCCCCUUGCAGCCCUGCUGCGUUGCUGCGGUUAACUUCUGCCAUACCUCGACUCCAUCUUUUGUAUUGUUGUUACACCCCAUCGCCAUUUUUUUGACAGGUACCAAUGUGCGUCCUCCUACGUAUGUAUCUCUUAUGUAGGAGGGAUUAGCGUGUAAAAUUGGAACGUGUGUACCUGCUUCUCUACAAGCCCGCAAGCGCAAUCAAGCAGAGGAGACUCAGUGGGGAGGAAGGGAGGAACCUCUUUCACUCCGUUCAUUGGUAUUUUAUUAUCGGCAUCGUAGUCGACCGAGAUACUUCGUCCUUCGGACAGACUAUUAAGCCCGGGGAUGAUAAAUUUUUAUAAAGCUAUUCCGUCGUUAAUAGUCACUUACUUUCGGUCAGAUUCUUUCGAAACCUGUUUUUUAGUGGGAUCAGUGGUAGCGCAUGUGCGACUGGUACAUGGUACUCCAUGACCAGUCGAUAUAUCUCUACACGCAAAAUCUACUUGCUGUCGAAUUAUCGAUUCAGUUUUUUUUUCAUUUUUUUAGAAUGCUUUGCUCCGCUGGACUUUUGACGUUUAUAAUUAGCGAGGCAUGAAAUAUUAUUAUUUGUCGAAUGAAAUUAUUUUUUAAAUUACUUUUUUAAUAUUUACUUUUAAUUAUACAUUUAAUAUUUUAUUUUAGAACAUAUUACAAAGCAAUGGAUGAGAGUUGAGUUGAAAAUGAAUUUUUAUAAAACAAAAUUUUCUCCAUUCAAUUAUGUUUUCAAUAACAUGAAGCAAUUAAUUUUAUUAUCAUAAUAUGAUAAUGAAAUUAAUAUUUCUUAGUCCAUUGCACAAAUUGUACAUUGUACAAAUGAUCAUUCAGUCAUUAAAAUAUUUUUCCGAAAUGAUUUGUUUUAUUAUUACAAAAGCUUUUGAAAUUACACUUCUGAAAAGCAAUACGCAUUUUUUAUUCUUCAAAGUAACCGACUUUAAGAAUUUAUUUCACAAUAGGUUUCAAAUUAUGCCGGUGCAUAUACCUAUUCCAAUUUCUUUCCGAAGGGAGUAGCCUUUUUGUUAUUGGUUAACAAAAGUUAAAACUAACUAAACUGAAAUGGAAAUGCAGCCGAUUUUUGUCCGAGUACUUGAUCGAUGAUUUAGAAAUGUUCUCAAAAGUUAAAUUUCGAAUGCAUUCUUCCAAAGGGACCACAUUGUCAUAAAUCUCAAGUAAUACCUGAGUCUUACCUGAGGGCGAGUCUUCCGCACCUUCGAAGUAGAGAUUUUGCAUUUUUGAUUUGAGAUAAGGAUCUCCCGUCCGCGCGCGUCGAACACCGCGAUGGCGUUUGAUGAGGGGCGACAGGGUGCGCGGCAGCGUGAAUGUGCAGCGAAUCUUUUUCUCGUUGCCUCUCUCUUUACACCUGUUUGAUCUCUGAACGCGCAAGUCUCCCGCGCUUCACGACGCUUCAUCUCUCUCCUUCUCUCUCUCUCUCUUGUUCAAGACCGGCGUGAGAAUACCUGAGGAUACAGCGAUCGGAAACUGUUUUGUUGGAAUUACCUUCGGAGAAACGAAAAUACGAUUGAGAAUGAAAGUGACAUAGUAUAGGAACCUGCAGGGAUUCAUUAUCUUUAGGUAACGUGCGUAAUAUAUUUAUACAACAACCAAAUUUAUCCUGACUAUUAGUAUCCAGCGAUAUGAAUAAAUAAAUUUAGAUGUAGUAAUUAUUUGGUAUUAAAUACUUUAAUCAGAGCCUUGUGCUGGCGCAUAUAUCUAUUCCAAUCUUUCUGCAGGGAGUGGCCUUUUUGCUAUUGGUUAACAAAAGUUAAAACUAACUAAAGGGCGUGAAACUUGUACACCUUCUGUGCCAUUGAAAGCACGUUGAUGUAAAAAAGGGGCUGCAACCUCUUGAUUAACUCGUGUAGAGAUCAACGCUGAUAACUUCAAAAAUUGUGCGAAUGUGUUACCACUGAGACAUUUCGUUGUACCACGAUGGAAUGCUGUACUUUAACGUGGACCAAUCUCUCGCGAGCUUCCAACGUUCUUCACGGAUCACCGUUUCUUCGAUGAACCCACGAUGAAUUCCUCUCAUGCCUUCACCCAUCGGAAGACGCGGUAAUGCAAUCUCGGUAACCAAUAGCGUUGUCGGUUGGCGGGUGAUUCCCCCACUAUGGACCGAGUGGGGCAACAAGUUCAGAAGGCCCGAAAAUAUCCACGAAGCGUAAAACGUGGCUUCUAUACACGUAUACACGAGUAUAUAGGCAUCAACGUAUAUAGGGUGUGCUGUUUAGCCAGUACAUGCGAGCAAGAUGAAGAAAGGGAUGAAGAAAUAGGAGAAAAAGAAUGAAAAAAAAGAAAAGAGAAAGAAAAAUAAUUAACACUAUGUUAAAUUUAACUGUCAAUUUUCGGAUGUUAAGAGGAAUAACGAUAAGUUUAAUAUAGGUUCUGUUUUGUCUAUUAAAUUAAUUUUUUAAAAAAGAGAUUAUUGUUAUAAAAAUCAUAUGUAAAAGAUAAGGCAUGAUUAUCGACAUUAAAUAUCUGAAUAUCUAUAAUGUCAAUAUAUAAGUAUACAAGUACGCUUGUAUCAUGAUUUUAUCACAAGUCAUCCCCGGUUAUACACAAUGCAUAUGGACGGAAGCAUAAACUGUACAGUAUUAUCUUUGUGUGCGUUCGGGGUUCUCUCGUCAGUUAAAGUGGACGAUGCGGUCCGAUUCACAAUGCGGGCGCUAAUGUCCACUUACCGCGUAGGGGCCACCGCAGGCCUUCUAGGACUAUUCGGGUGUUUUAGUGCUUUACAGCAGGCCAUAAUAUCUCCUUUCUUGGGCUAAGUCAGGUAGAGGAAUACCCAAGAUCCCAAGAUCACACGAUUCGAAACCGCGACUUACGAUACCCUAUUGCGCGAGCGUAUUUAAGCGCGCAUGUCAAAAGUUAUAUUACUUUAUGCUUACAUAUAAAGAUAUUUACGAGACAGCAUUUUUCGACGGCUAUUCUAUUUUCACAUUUUAGUUUUUACCCAAGAAUCUUAGAAUAAACUGGGUAAACUGGUAACAAAUCCAAGAGCAGUAAAAAAAUAAUCGCAAGGGAAUAUCUUUUAGAUCUCUACUAAAAACAUUUGCUAAUAAAAUUUGCUAAUAAUUUAUUAGUGUAAUAAUUUAAGCAACAUGAAAUAAACUUCGAUUCAUUAUUCAAGCAUUACAUAUUCCAUGCAGCAGAGUGAUUCUAAAAGAACCGCGCAAUGUGCAAGCAGCGCGUGUUUGAAUGUCAAAGGAGGAGAGAUACAACAGGAUUGAUUAUGCGCCAGUGGAUCGCACCUGCGAAAUAAUGAAGCGCAUAAUGAGAGGUUUUUGACUCCAGUUUCCGUUGAUUUGCCGAUCGGCUACAAAGUGCUCAUUGGGUGGUCUCUCAUUACGACCGUUUUCUCAAUGACUCCAUAGCGCAGUUGGUCAGAAACAUAUGGUUUCUAACCGUUGAUUCACGAUGACUGGCCCCACAGAGGGCGGUAUUGUAUAACUGACGAGUGAUUUUUCAUGGGAGCAGUUCGUCAAAAAAUUCACCGCCGUUCCGCAAUAUUAGGUCUCGACUUUACAAAAACACCGCUUAAUUCGGAGUGGGCUAUUAGUUCGAUGAUUGCAGCGAUGAUUUGAGUUUCCAGUGUUUCUAUCCGGGUCGAAAUCUCAUUUCUACAUUCGAUUUAAAUUUCAAUAUUCUAAAAUAUUAAGAGGAAUAUAUUAAUACUUAGUUUAAUAAACUAUGUUUAAUGAGUUUAACUUAAAUUUCAUGAUGUCCAUUAUAUACUUCGUAUUAAUAUACUUCGUUUUAAUAACUUCAAGGAAUAAUAAAUCAUGCGAAGGUACUUUGUCCAUUUCGACCACAUCCUCUGCUUAUCUAUUCUCGCGUCACUCUCGUUUGAAUAUAUUAAGACAGGGUUAAAACGACGACAGAAACAAAACCAAUAAUCACGCACGGAAACGCCUUGGGACGGAAUAUCGGUCUACAUUUCCGAAGGAGCAGUUUGAGACACUCGUUGAACGGUACGGAGUAGUCCUCAAGGAUACUCCUGGUACUCCCCUCGCUCUAAUAACCGGUGGCUCUCACGGAAAGGGGUAGCUUUCGCAGUUCCAAUCGUACGGGCGGAGGGAGCUGAUAGGAUGAAAGAGGGAACAGAUAGACCAGGACGAACUGUGCGGUACAUGGCGUAGGGAUACUGGCAAUUAUCAUUUCUUGUAGGAGCCGGCCGCGUCGUCACAGACACACAGGCGGUUUUGCAACAUUCGGACCCUCAUUGUGGCGUGGUUCCUCUGCUGCCUCCGUCUCUCGUUCUCUUCUAUCGUCAGUCUCUCCUUCCGUGCGCUCUCUUGCUCCUUCUCUUUCUUUCCGCCCGCUCCAUCCUGCGUACGUUGAAACAAAACGAAGGAGAUGCAUGGCGCGCUCUCAAGGAUAACGACUAUGAGGCCUAGUCGAGAAGCUAAGCCGGCGGCCAUAUUGCGGACAAUUGAAACCGUUGCAACGCUCUUCGCGGUACUUGCAGCUGCGACAACUCCAGAGGCUUGGUGUAUCACGCACGUCGUAGCGAUGCGAACGCAGAUGCGCGUCGCCCGGGGGCAAUUAAUGCGGGCUCACGUACGUCGCACCCGGAAGACGGGAAUUGCGGGCAAUUAGAUACGUCCCGAAGAAGUGAACAUCAUGCCGCGGAUCUUGCGACCCGAAUCAAAGCUUCUUUUAUGAUUUUAUUGUUGAAAGUUAUAACGAUUAAUAAAGAUGUCAACUUCAAAAAGAGGACUUUUAGACUGAUGUUAUAAACUGAUGAUUUAUUUUGUUGCAGUAUGAAUAUGAUAGUACAUCCGGUUAUGAAUUUUUGUACAAGGAAAUUAAUUGUCAAAGUAUAUGAGUUACAUACACACAUACCUUACAUGUACAUUUGCAAUAUAAUAGACAGAUAUAAAUUAGCAAUAACAAGAGAGAGGAACAAUUAUACACAAUUUCGAAUUUUAUUGCUAUCAGCUUUUCUUGAUAGCAAUUAAUAUUACUUGCUGUAAGAAAUUUUUGUUUAAAAUAAAAAUGCAUAGAAGAUAAAAUAUCUAUAAUUUCAUAAAAGUCAGAUUCUACACGGCUAUCGAAAUAUUUUUAUUCAGCGCUGGCGGACAAAAAUGUAACCAGUUACACGACUUUCACACACCGGAUCGAACAAAGAAUGCAUUUGGCGCAUUUAGAAGCAGGACUCUUUGAAGACGAGAGGAAGGGGAACUUGGUAACCUGAUGCCUGGCAACGAUGCAAGUUCACCACUAAUAUUUGGAGCUAUGGAGUGGGGAAGGUCGUGUAUGUGGCACGAUGGACCAAUCAACUAUGUGCAUACUAAGCACAUCUAGAAAGAGCAACUUGGCGCAAUAGAAUUCUUCCAACUGCACACACACACAUACACACAGUGACAAUUAUUAUUAAUAUUUUCAUAAUUUCUAUAAUAUCAAAUAAAUGUUCAAAGCUCUGAUUAUAAUUACUAAAAAUAGAAAAAUCUAUAAAUAAUAGAAAAUUAAAUAGUUAAUCGGUCUUUUCUAUCCGAUAUGUUUGCGUGUGUUUGUUUAAUCUAAUCUGAAGUUACAACUGAUAAUCGAUUUAGUAAAUCAGCCUCAAGCAUUUCAAAGUCGCACGUUUGUUGCAUCGCGGCGUGCGUUACACUCGCCUAAAAGCGCGCGGAUUAUCGGCGAAUCUUUACGAUCACCUCUCGUAACAGUAACGAUUAUCCGCGAACAUAAAAAUCCACCUCCACCCUACGGAGGAAAUAAAUGUAAAUCCUCGAAUAUUUUAAGAUGGCGCGGGGAGACCACGGAUCGGGCGUCGCCGGUAAUGGAACUUCGACACCGUCGAGGUCGGCUGCGUUGGUAGGGAGAUGCGGUGGAGUGGGCCUCACCGAGCGUAAAGGACUCGGGCGGGCCGAGCAGGACCCAAAAGUCGUCCUGCAUGGUCAGAGGGUCCAAUCUCAUUUGGUACUAGCAUGCCUUGCUCACUCACCUCCGGGCCUCGAAUUACUGACUUCGCUCUUUCCCUUUCUCACUCUUCCCCUCUGUCUAUCUCUGCGUCCCGCUGCAUCCUCCGUAGAGUCGUCUCUUUGCAGCAUCCCAUCCCGCUUCGAUGUUGAUCAUUAUCGCCAGACAUUCCGAGAUGCGCCCGCGGUGCAAAUGCAGCAUUACCAGAUGCAACAGUCUUGGCAUCAGUGUUUCUAAUUUGAAGGAGAAUAGAACAAUACGAAUAAGUAGUCUCAAGCGGUCGUUACAGUUGAGGGGCUGCAACUUUCCUGGAAGAAUCGAUGCUUUCCUCUCAUUUGAUUGGGCCAAUGUCUGCGAUAAUUAUUGUUCGAAUGAAUUUGAACGGAAGCAACGACAAGAAAUAUUUAGUGUAAAAUUGUUGCACCUUUUCGAGCAAUGAUUGAUGCUUAUUUUCUGUUUUUGUUCUGAAAGAGAUUUAAUGAAUACAACAUCAUUUCUUUCUACAUAUAACUCGUGCGUAUGAUUCUCUAUAUAUGCAAAAUUAUGAAAAUAAUGAUCUCUGAUUUUGCGUUUAUUAUAAUCAUUAAUCGAAUAAUAAUCUGCGAUUGGGCGAUUGUUCGCUCCGCGCUAGGACCGUGCUAACAAAAUUGACUGGAAAUGAACUCCCGAUUGGCCUCAUCAUCGUCGACUCAAGAAGCUUUAUCCGCACGGCUCGCCUAACAACGCCGACGCUUCCGCACGUUGCUCAUACGCUAGAGAAGCCGUGUACGGUUUCAAAGAAAUGAAAGAAACAGAAGCGUCCGACGUUGAUGAAUGAAGCUGAUGAAUCAGAUAUCUCCUGUGAGUAUCCUCGAAAGGCCUUUCUUUACGAUCGCGGGCGUCAAGAUAAAUAGGUCCUCCUUUUUAUUUCGCUUGAUAUACCCAAGGCAGCUAUUCGGCCGCCGGUGUAUGCCAGAUCGAACGCCUGGGUUGACUGCGCUUUCGAGAUCCUCCAAAGGAUUCGAGUUUUCGACCAGCAACAACGUGGAUGAUAACGGAGUACGGACUCCGACUUCCAGUGGAUAUCUUUAUCUUGGUUCAAGAAAAUCGCAAAUUGAUUCCACUUAUAAUCUGUCAUGAUAAAAUAGCAUCAAGGUUAAAAUAUAAUAAAGAUUUUUUUAAUCAAACGAACAGAAGAAUUAUUUAUUUGAUAAGACGCGAAAUUCUUUUAGUCAGUGCAAGCAUGCAUUUGAUCUUUCAUAUCGCAUGGUAGUUACAUAUCUACUAAUCUCAAUGGACGAAAAAUAGAACAUUCAAAAGAGGUGCAGUUUUUCUGUUUGCAAAAUGUACAAUGUCGUGUGUAGGAGUAACGAUAAUUUCUUGCACGCGACAAUUUGUCGAAUACGAACGGCGGGGACCACGGGAAAUUAUACGGCGACAAUGCCGCGCGACGAUAUUUUGCGCGAGCAUUCAAAACUUUUGCGAUCAUUACGAUCGAUCGUACUUCUCGCGAUUCAAUCUGCCGUGCGAAUUAUCGCGUGUCCAACGAUAACUCGCUACGCUAUUCGCCGGCGUCCUAUCACGCGGGUAUCUCCACUAAUUGGGAUUUCGCAGGAUCGUAAGUUGGUCCGUGCAAGAAAAAAAAAUGAAAAAAGAAGAAGACGGUGGCACGGGAGAGGGCGUGGGUCCUAGCACGGUAUGACGCGAUAAUGCGGUUCGGUCUUCGUUGAGAGGGAGGGAGGGGGAUCAAACGGGCGUGAAAAAGAGAGAAAGAGAGAAUUGGACGCGCGAAUAAGAAGAAAAGAAAUCAGAGGAGGUGACGGUGAGGAGGAAGAAGAGGGGCCGAGUGGUCCUGCCACACUGACCUUGACUAGGCCCGAAGUUGAGGUGGGUUGAGGUGCUGCCGGGCCCUCUUGUCGCGUCCCCCUCCUCCUCCCAUCCUCUUGGGAUGUUCCCUCUUGCGCCCCGCGGCACUCCACGCGCACCGACGGGCCCCACCGGGCCUGCCCUGUAGUUCUGCAUUCGCAGACUCCUCCAUCAAGGACAUCACAAAAAGUACAUUAGACGAAAACACGUUGCCAUUAUACCGCGGCGCACCGCGAGAGAGGAGAGCGAAAACGCUAUGUCUGCGCUGAGGCCGAUGUGCACCGACACUGCGGGCCCAACGGCCCGCCAUUCGGGCCCCCGCAACACCGCCAAAAAGGCCCACGGACAUCUCCCCUGUCUCUCUCUACGACUACGCCUGAAUUAGGUCGCGCUCACGACUCCAUCGUAUUAUUUGAUAAAAAUUUCAUGAAGAGAAAAUUUAUUUCUGACAAGGUGAAUAUAAUAUUUGUAUACGAUUUAGAUUUUUACAAGAUAAUCUUAUGCAAAACACCGAGCCAAGCGUAAAGCAUUAGUUUUAAAGCAAAGAUUACAUAGAUAUGAAGUAUUAAACGAUACAACAUAUAACAUGUAUAACAGUAUUCAAACUGGGACUUUCACGAUGAAACUGUGAUAGAAUAAUAUUCUUUCUUUUAAAACAGAAACACUUAUGCUGUUAAAGGAAACUGCAGCAUUCUAGCAGAUCAAACAAUUAGGUUUUAUCUGAAAUUACGAAAUAUAAAAAAGACAAUACCGGAGUAUGAAUCGACUAAUAUAAUUAAUAUGUAACAUCGUUAAAAUUUACAGUUGCACAUUUCAUUGACAGACGCAGAAAAAAAUCGCAAGGUGGCGAAACGCGCCUUAACUACUGCCUUUACUUCUGACCCUCACACUGCACCUCACCACUCACUCUCUCAAGAUCAAGGUCAGCUCUUGGGAGAUGACUGGACUCUUUAAGCGACGUACCUUUUCUUCGUUAUCCGCUACGUUUCUCACUCCGACAUAUACAUAUACCGGGCCCUACUGUAAGAGUAUCUUGCGGAAACACUUGUGCGAGACCGCGUAAUGCGAAUUUUAACACGCAACCUCGUGAACAAGACGGAAAAUUUAUAAUCCAUAACGGAAUGCAUUAUUAUCUCGAAACUGUCUGCAAUUAUUAUAGCCACAGAAAUUCAAUUGUCAUGAAAGUAGUAAUCAAUUAUUGAUCACAAUGUAUAGCAACGACAUCUGAAUAUUUAUCGUGAUUAUGUAUGAAUAAAUAUUCAUGUGAUAGGAAAACAUGAAGCCACGAAUUUGCCACGUUAGAAACAGCGAUAAUUUAUUAUCAAUUAAAACUUUCUUCUUUCUGAAAUAGAAUCGUUUAAUCGUCGCGUCUCAGUUCGUUGCGACUUUGCGAACGCACGAUCGACUUCCAGUUUCUCUUCGCAGCACUUUCUCAGGUUUGGGCGUGAGAGGGCAACGCUCGUUUACGAAUCUAAACGCACGUAACGGAUAAUUCACGAUAAUUUCGAUGAGACGAAGCAUCGCGCUACCGGCAGUAACCAGUCGAAGCUGGUUCCCGCUUAAAGCUUUCUCCAAAGCGACCAUUAAGUGCUUACAGCGGCUGUGGCGUACCUAAUCCUUAAUGCAUACUUAUACACACGCUCCGCAUCAUCUGUGCACGAUUCAACGGAUUUAUUAUCUACCUCGAUGCUAUAUCGCACGUGGGCGGCCCGUCGUCGCGCAUCGACUUACCUUCAUAAGUCAGCUUGAUACGACAUCAUAUUUCUGAGCGAUUCAAUAAGCUUGUUCAAUGCUAGUUACGAGUAACGAAAUUUCGUUUCUCGUAACUAUCGAUAUAUCGCAACUUACAUUAAAGUGCGAAAAAGUAACGCAUUUUAUUUCCGAUACAAUCUUUUACUCGAAAAAGUUGGUGUUCUAGUUUUCAUAAUUUUUUAGUAACAGAGUUACACGCGUGUGUCUUUCUCUUUAACUGUUUCAAACUUUUCAUAAUUUAAAGCAUUAAAUACGUAUUUAUAAUCUGUAUUCUUUGUAUUCAAGCUCAGAAGACUCGCAGUAAUCCUGCCCGUAAUUCGAUUCUAUUCGCUGUAAGCAACAAUAGCAGGACGUUGUUGUCGCUAUAAUAUGCAUAUUUGUGGGCAUUAAAAUUUUUUUUGCUUUGAAGAACUGAAAACAUAAUAAAAAUAUGCAAAGUUGUCUGGCGCGACGUAGGUUAAUUGUAUUAUUUAGAGACAGAGUGAUUUGUACCGCGAGGAAAUACGGAGAACACAGACGAGUUUCCUUAUAUGGCGUCACGCGUUCACCUAUAUAUCCAUAGUUCGUCUCGAGAAAGUCGAGCCGUGUGCCUGACACGUAUUAUUCACCUACGUACGUAUGAAGUAUUUAACUACGCAAUAUCUUAAUAACAGAUUACUCUGUGAGUUUCAACUUAUCGCCUUCUCAGCAGGAAGACAAUUUCAGGAGACAAUUAAUUACCGAGGGAUUUCACCCGAAAGUUUAAGGGUGUCUUACCGAAGUAGAGUUAAAACUUCCAGUUGUUUACUUAUUCGGACCGAUUUCUCGUGCAGUGAAACGGCCGUGGAAAACAAAUCCAACCGGAUUUCGCGUACUGCGUCCGAUGAAGCUGUCGAGUUUCGUGGCGGGACAGUUCCGUUGACAAAUGAUAGACUCGGGAGCUGUUAGACGGAUCGAUAGCCGCGCGUCAACCUGUAAAUAGAAUUGAUAAAAUGCCCAGUCAUUCCCGACGAUAGGAUGACUCCGCCGGCGUCAUUACUAGUGCCAUCGCGUGUGCGUGUUUCUGCGAUGAUACACUCGAGAUAUUCUCAGGCCAUUGAAACGUGUCUCCCAUUCAGCCGCGGUGACUUCAUUACGGCACUCCGCGAUCUAUGCAGUUUGCAGAGAGUUAACGAAACCGCAUUUGUGAUUCUCACGACGGUAUCGCACCUGCGAAUAUUAUACCUGCGAAUAAAUUUUAAGUCUUUCAGUUGUGCCGAGAAUGUGAUAUAGAGCUACUUUAAGAAAUGAAUAGCCAAAGAAUUAUGAACAAUUUAAAUCAGCACUUAUGCCACGCUAGAUUUCACGUUAGAUUCGUGCGUAUCUCUAAAUCCAGUUUAAAUUUAGUCGUAAUGAACGUUAGGCCACCCAAACUGAAAUCAUGUAAGUGCGAACUUUUAACGGGGUAUACCUACAUCCGCUUUCCAGAAAGAUACUGUUAAGUUCGCACGCUCAGUUGUGUACGUGGUGAAUUGAAUUUUACAAGAAAAUAUGUAAAACAUAUACCCGUAGGCGUUGUCCACAUUUCGAGUAUAACUCAUAGCAAGUCCUUGGCAUUAAAUAUGUAAAUGCCUGGCGAUUGGCAACGCGGGCGUUUAAUUCGCCGGUGAAUCGCCAAUCGCGCGAGCAUCUCAUCAAUUGGAUUUCGAAUAGCGUUCCAUGAAAUCAUUGGCCGGUAAUUAGGUUGCGCAUAAUGACGACGGCCAGACAAACAAGGUUCGUUUGUGCGCAAGAGGCGGACGCGACGUUCGAUUAAAUUAUUAUUAAAGGUUGAUUCGCGUAUUUGCGCGCACACGCUGCACCAUUUACAUGAAUAAAAUUUAUGGUUCGUCGUUAAAAUGAAGGAGAUAACGUCAUUGUGCAGCCGAUGUAGAAGAGCAAUCAGAAUUCAUAAAAACAGAUGUAGAAAAUGGAAUAUCUAUUUAAUUAAUUCACGAUUAAUACCUCAGGUAAAAAAACUUGAUAAUCAUGAUGUCAUGAAAGAAUGGAAUAUUCGAGUGUUCAAAACAACGCGAGAAUUAUAUUUGCGAUAAAAAUGCGAAUAAACACGUAUAUUUCUCCUUAUAUAAUUUUUUAUCAUACGCUGGAACAUCAAUUGCGUUGUAUUCAUUCCGAAAAAUUCAACUAGCUUUUGUUCUCGCGCAAAGCACAUAUGUGUCGUUGCAAGAAAGAAUAAAUGAUGCAAGUGUUGUUAUUGUACUUGUGAAUCAGGUUUUAUCAGUACUAUAACAUAUUAUAUUUAUUUAUGCAAUACAUUGCGAUGCGAAUACAUUUUUUCAACUUGCUGACAUUCACAAAACUGCACGGUUGAUACGCCUGAAAAUAAUUUGAAUACGUUACAAUACGGAUUAAUACGGUUUUUUUUUUACGAUUCCCAGUAAACAUUUUUACAUAACUGCGAUGGAGAGAUACGAAAACAGCACAGUUUCGAGUAACAAACGCGCAACAUUCUGUCUGACCUAAUGAUGGAAACAACUGCUAACUGUGAUACAGGGAAUAUAACUGUGAUACAGAGAUGAAAUGUUCGGGAGAUGGAAAGGAAAACUGAAAGCCAUUAUCGUCGUAGUUCUCGCUUGCGUAACGCGAGUACUAACGGCAACUACCACGAGUACAUACAUGCACGCGCUCGGCGUAUACACGUAUAUCUGCUUACACGUACAUGCACACCCAGGGGUCGUGUAUGUGGCACUUACGUGCCAAUGACUGUAAAUACCCGGUGCGGUUGCCGAAGUAAUUUGUACCACGCGCGUGUCCCGAGUACUCGUACCACUUACAGUAACGGAUAUCGAACGCGGAUUCCGGGUAUCCGUGGAUUCCGAAACGACUUCUGCGUGGCUUUUAGCUUCGGCGUGACGAUAAUAACAUCAUCGGUACAUCGGUUUUGCGGAUUUGCCAAGAUAUUGAAACCGUUGCUUUUAACGUUUCACUUUUCUGUGCAAUUUUCCACGAUACUUUUACUUACGCGCGUUAUAAGUGACUGCCACCGAGCGAUACGUUAUCGCAAUUUUUAAUAUAUUCCUGUCUCAUAAUCAAAACCGUUGCCUUGCGUUCGUAUAAUUCUAACAUACAAUGUAAUGGUAUUUUUUUAUGUAUUCGAAUAUCUUUGAAUUUCUAAGUCAGAUAACUAUGUAUCUUAAAGUAAGGAAAUUUGAUUAAGUAAGUAUUUAAAUUAUACCGAUGGAGAAUGUUGCCUUAUUAUGCUGCCAGGACCAGUUUAAGGUAAUUACUGUUUAUCAGUCGGCUUCGUUUGGACGAGAAAAUAUAACUUGAGAAAAUGUAACUUGGAUUUAUUCUACAGGGAAUAUUCUGGCAACGAUUAGAGAAUCGAAGUGUGAGCUAAUAAAAUUUAAGAGAUUCAAGAUCUUCGCUGAAGAAAUGAACGAAAAAUAUUCGUAGAAUAUCAAGUCGCAUAAUUAUGAACUUUUAAGUGUGACUCUCGGCAGUCUUAAUCACUUAAUCACCUUGCAAUCUUUUGGGAGAGGCUGUUGACCCAUACUGUAUCGACAGUCGAUUGGUUUAAGAGUAAUACAACUGCCUCUCUCUCUCUCUUUCCCUCUUCCUCUCAUUUAAUUAUUCCUGAUACCUACACCGAAAAAAGUAAUGAGAUAGAUCUUGUUUGUGAAACCGCUUGCUUCUUAGUCAACGAUAUUUUUAGAUCUAAUUGACGUGGUACAUUCAGACAAACCUCUCAGAAGUCCAUAUCCCCGAAAUAUAUCCUAGCCGAAGUUGUAUCUAAGCAGUCAUGCGUAUGCGCCGUAUUAGUGCGCGUGCACCCACGCGCGCACGUGAUACACGUACUCGCGUAGCAGCAGCUCGCAGGUUUGCUUUUGUGUGAAGCUCGCAUGGAGGCGGGGUCUCGGUGCUUAGAGGGCUAUAAAAAGAGAAAGCUGGACGGAAUCCUACAAUCCUAUGCACGUAUGUGUCUUUCGUGUACGCACGCACGCGUGCGUGUACAUGCACAUUGGUGUAGCGGGUGCGCCGGUUGGAUACAACGGGGCAAGUGCGACUGUAAAUGCACGCUCCAAUCUUCUUGAACCAUCUUGAUCCUCGUUUCUUAGCCGGCCCUACAUUCUUUUAAUCUCACGAUGCUGCAGCUAAGUAGACAUCGUUCCAUCCAUUAAAAACUAAUCUUCAUCUCCAUUUUCACUUUUGCCUGGAAAACGUUUGUUUAAAUAAUAAUAAUAAUAAUAAUAUAAAUUGCUCUACAACUUCUCGUAAUCAAGCUCUGUUUGCGACUGACUAUAGAAAUUCGCUCUGCGCGCAAACAUCGGGGAUCGCAAAAGGUUGCAUAUAGAAACCUGAUGAUUUCCAGCGAUUCACGUGCACGUCUGAGCAGCGCUUAUUUUCUCUACGAAUCCACGAAAUUGUCGCGCCAUUCGUAGGAACGUGUACCCCGGCGCAUGAUCGUGAUAUGAGCGUGCGAGAGAGAGGAAAAGAAAAAGAAAGAGAGAGAGAGCGAGAGGGGGAGGAAGGGAGAAAGCGCGGCUGUAAAACGCACACGACACGUUUAUUUCUAAGAGCGUGCACACGCCGCUCUUAACAGGCCGGCAUGCCGUGCGCCUAGAGCAACGACCAGCGUAAUUAUCGGCCCGACUCCCACCACGCUUGAUCUUACGAUUUACAUUAACCACGGUAAUGCCACGCCGAAACUACGGUCCGUACACCUCGACGGCAUAACGGUGACCCACAAAUUGGAUCUUUAUCCCGAGGAAGGGAAAUUAUCCGGACAGCUCCUCAUAGGAUCAGGAGAGAGAGAGAGAGAGAGAGAGAGAGAGAGAGAGAGGUGCACUUGGCGUGAGAUCUGUGAUCACGAAUAAAUAAUUCUUGUCUGUUGCCUCAUUGAUGAUAAUACGUUACUCAUAUUGAAAGACCGAUUACUCGGUCUACAUUCUAGCAAGAGAAAGAGGGAGAGAGAGGGAGGGAGGAAGAUUUCAGUGAAAGUACGGCAAUCCAAAUCUCUUUGUGGGAACUGUGAACUGGAGGAGAAAAUUAGGAUUAUUACCCUUUGAUCUAAGCUGCGCGCAUUUAUAUGAGGAAGUUAUACUCGCAAGUUAUUGAAGAAAGAGUAAAUAAUCACGAUAUCAUUUUUUCUCCUUUUAAUGCAUGCAAAUGCAUGUGGGUACUAUUUAAGACGGCAUUGUGCUCACCUAUAUUUAUCAAGUACUCCUCUGAAAAUAUUCUGAAUACAUGAAAUAUUCCCUAUAGCUUUCCGGAUAGACAUUUCUCUAGCUCUGUAUACUCAGAUAGAAUAGAUACGGAAUAUUUCCUCGAUGGAAGUCUCAAUGUAACGCGACGCUUUUAUUUACGUUCUCGUGGUCGUUUCAUUUACAUCACAAUGCAUCUCGGAUCUUGUGGACCGCGGGCGCGGGAUCAGCGAUCUUCUUUAAUUUCACCGUCAUGCUCGGAAAGACCAUUGUCGUAAUCGGGUUCCGAUCGCAGCUCCGAUUACAGUUUCGUCAAGUAUUCGCCGACUCGAGUUACGCUAUCUCCGAGAUAACCGAAUCCUCGAGCAGUCGCCGGUUGUCCUUAAUCGUUCGAUUGGAUCUAAUUCGCCUUCAUGAUCUAUCUGUGUCGUCGUUGUCUUCAUGCCGAAGGUUCAAGGUUGCGAUCGCACGCAUCGGGGCGCAUCUAAUUCGCCUCUUUGCACGCGGUAUAAUCUUUGACCGUGCCGCAAGUAAUAAUCGUGCGGCUCGCGAUACACCACAAAGAUUCUUCGCGAUCUUAUCUGCUCCCUGCCGAAACUUUCGGCAAAGGGUAUUCAGGUGUCCGCCAUCUGCCGUCUAUUCACCGCCCCUACGGCGGACUUAGCACCUUAUGUACUUUGUACACUGUGCGUGUUCACCAUCAGGACGAGUUUACUCGCCGCUCCUCUCAGUCUGCAACGUUUUUGUAGUAACUCAAAAAGUUGAGGCCAUAAAUACCGCGACGUAUCCAAGUUAUUACACGAAAUAAAAACCGAAAGUUGUAAAUAAGAUGGCGGAUGUUGCAAGACGUCGCUUCUCAAAGCGGUUUCACUUUGUGAUUUAAAUUUUCAUAAAGACCACGUGUGAUCACGUGGGCAUUUUAAUGGAUUGUCAUUGAAACUCAACAGGAGACAGGAUUAAUGAGAAAUAAACGAUUAUUGACUCAGGCAUAAUAAGAUCCAUUAUUGUAAAUAUUACUCCACUCCUAUAAUUUCGAGUAAUAAGAGACUUAAAUAGCGAGCAAAUGUGCAGUUAUUUUUCUCGGAUUAGAAAACUUAGAGCUGUUUGUACAUUAUCGGUGCUAGAGGCACACGCAGCCGUUGGCCACGGAAUAAUUCCAGGUUCUCGAUAGCGAUCGCCCGCUAAUUUGCCGCAAUAGAGAACAAUUUGCGGCUCGACCUUUUUCACGCGCGGCGUGCUGCUGCUGCAGCUGCGAGCGUCACGAAAGCACACAAGAGGUGCCCGGAUUUCAUAUGCCGCUUUGGAAAAACUCGAAAGAGUCCGCUCGGCACGUGCGGAAGGCGUCGCAGGGUCAGCCAGAGGAUUCUAAAUCUGCCCCGAGCGCCUUGUCGAAGCGGCCUAUAUUUCCGGAAGCGACAGCGACGAUGAUGCAACCGCGAAGGAGAAACGAAGCAGAUGCAGGUGCGCACUAAUAACGCCACCAAAUAGCAUGUGCAACGAAGAUGAACAAGCUCGUUAGAGUCCUUGGCUCUUUCUCUCGAACUCGUAAACAGUGUAUGAUUAACAUCGUGAACAAAAAUUCGAUGAUUAGGAAAGAUAAAUGCUGGAAAAUUAUUCUCAUCAUGAAUAUACAUUACAUAUUUAAGAUAAAUGUGCGUUGAUACGUUCUAUUAACAAUUAUUUCACUUAAAAUGUCUUUAAUAUCCUUUUUGAUAAUUUUUUGUUAUUUAUCUUUUUUUUCUAUUUAUCUGCAGACAGGGGAAAUAUUGAAAUAUAAAUUUGACGAUAAAGGAAAAAGUGUGCAUGUGCAUAUGAGAAUGCGCGACGCAGUUUAACUGCAAUAAUCGGCGAUACGGCGAUACCUUUUUACAUAUAAACAUUCCGCUUUAUAUAGUAUUACCCUAUAUAUGUUACUAGUAAAUUUGAUCGCACUGUAAUAUCCGGCGUCUCGUGUAAUGUCCGCACGAUCUGCGGCUGGUCUGCGGCAACGAAAAUACCAGCGGAAACGUCGGGACGCUGAAUAAUUAAAGCGGGAAACGUAACAGCGCUUAAGAGAAGCGUGCGUUCGUUCAUCCGACUGUGAAGCAAAGACUCUUGGCUUCGUAUAUUUAGCGCGACAUCGAUUCUUCCUGAAAAGAGACGUCCUGCUCGACGACAGCGUUCAUUAUUCAUCAAACAGCGCUUUGCAGAAGCGGUCUCUUUCUGAAACAGAUCCAAGCACUCCUAGAAAAAAACUUUGAUGAUUUGUUUGCUACUUAAGUGAAGAGGAAAGGUUUCAUUAUUCAUGAAAAGAUUUCAACGAACAGUGAAGAGACAGUUCUUAAUUAUAAUGUUCGAGGAAAUUGAGUUUAUGAUAUUGAUUAAUCAGCUCUUUGUCUCGUUGCAUUCAACAAAUGUAAUGUUGCAAAGCUGCAUAUAUAAAUGUCAUAAAUAGGUCCAUAGGUUUUAAUUAUUCUUAAACAAUUCCAAGACUUUAUCAAGAUUUUACAUUUUCAAUUGUUUUUUGUAUUUUACAAGCUCAGUAUUAUUUUAUCGUAAAUGUAAAUUAAUAAUUCGAUUAAUUGUGGUUUAUAUUACACUGAUAAAAUAAGAUAUAUUACUAAAAAUUUAUUGGGAGUGGAAUGGAAGAAAUACUAUUUUUGUUACUUAUGUUGCAAAUGUGCUUUAUAAUAAUUUGAAUCUGAUCACAUGUAAUAAGAUGUAAUAUGACAUCUGGUAAAGUAGCAUAUUAUUAAAAUCUAAUGAAAAUUCUAUCAUCAGUCGUCGGUAAAACAGAAGUUGAGGAUCUUACUAAUCGUAUGGUAUAGUCGGUUUAUGACUUGUACCCACCAAGUUCUUGCAGUUACAUUAAAAAUUUUAUGAUUAUCCAGCUAAGAUAAUAUUCAAAAUAAUCAAUGAAAUAAGUGAAAGAAUCAAUGAAAGAAAAAACAAAAAAUUUUCAAUCAUAUUAAUAAAAAUUAUAGUUUUAUUAAAUUAUAGUUUUGCAGACUAUAAGUAAACCUAGAUUAAAAUAAAUUAACAUCGAUUAUUGUUCUCAUAUUUAUAACAUACAUCAUGAUUAUUUAAGCUUUUAUCUUUAAUAAUUGUUUAAUAACGCGCGAAUGAUAAAUAAUUUUAAUAUAUUUUAGUUUGUAAAAAGUGUUGAGCUUAUAAUCUGAGAACUUAAAAUCUUGCGUAAAAUCUUGCGUUAUUCUAUUGUAAAAUUUAUCAAAAAAUUGUACAUUAACGGAAAUCGAGGUUUAUAUAGACCAUUUCAAUGUUAAUACGCUAGCUGGAAAUAGAGUAUUUAAAACAGUUCCAGGAAGUACUUUUAAAAGCAAUCAAGUCAGCAAAAAUAGAUACAAAACUUUAAAAUAAACUAUCGUACUUCUGAAAAUUCUUGGCAGUUUAAAGACGGUACCUGAAGAGACAAACCUUUGAGCAAGAUUUAAGAAAAUUUCAGCAUUUAUAUUGCUUGACAAGGGUUAGUUACACUGAGAUUUGCUUUUUAGAAAGGUGUCUCUCAUCUCUGCUACGUACAAAUUAACAAAGACGCCCAACAGUGUCGUACGACAUCUCUAAAGACGUCUUCAGAUGAUCUAUUUUGACUAACUUCUGCUAUUCGGAAAAUUUUCCUGUUUUCCUCUUCGAGGAAAAUACAACGAAUUACUGUUAACCAUCUCGCUGGUGGAAUUUUCGAUGUGGCGGCCGCUGUUUUAUUUAUAGCGGAGGAGGUCGUGAGUACGUUCCAAAAGCUUCUCGACUCAGCAGUACCAUCAGUACAUCCACACCGAGCUCAUCUCACACCGGAUCUCGAAAAUCGUCAUUCAUUGAUAUAUCGGACUUGCAGAUCACAAGAGGAAAAGAAAUUUCCAAAAAUUGCAAUCUAAUUCUUUGUGUCAAUACGAUAACUUGAGUUAUGAAAGUUCGUUGUCUUGAUGACGGAAUUUGAAGCUGUCUGAAGAACAAACACGUGACAUUCGUACCAUCAGCUGGCGUCCGCGCGAGAAUUGACGGACGUCUCGUAUCGAUACACGUCAUCCACGUGGAACGUAUGCGUGUUACGUCGGAUCUGUGUUGGACUGGUUAAAAGGAAGCAAACGAUCGAUCGUGAUAAAUGCGGCUUCGAGUCAGGACUCGCCGUACCUCGCGCCGGAAGUCGAUGGACUGGCAAAGCUGACGAAAACUGUUCCAGUCGAUCCGGAUACGUGUGACAGAUGCAUUCUUCUCUUUAGUGUCAGCGAGCAUUGUUGUAGCUUUGAUCCAUCUUUCUCCGUCCAACUCAUCGUCUUCCAUUCUUGGAUAUGGCACACUUACGACGACCUAUGAGGCGAGAUCAUUACAAGCCGUUCGGAAGAAGAAGGGUAAAUUGAACAUAUUUAUAAUAAUGUUGCUUGUUGUCAGUUAACAAUAGCGUAGCACGACUAAUCGGAUAGAUAUUACCGAUCAUAGAUCUAUAUUUUGGAGACGAGACGCGACAGGACAGGACUCUAAUGCAUCAUCAAAAACCGAAAUAGCAGCUGUGUCCUUCGGCCACCAAAGUCCUCAUAGUUUCAAUAACUGCCAAACGCCUUGGCUGCCGUAAAGUUCUCGCAUCUCCGGAAUAUCGAGGCCGCGAUGUCCAAUACGUAAUUGAUUGACUGGUAAAGAUAUCCGUUUAAAGGAAUUCUAUAAUAACAAAGCGGAGAAACCGCAUGCGUGAAAUGUAGAUCAAUACUUUGUUUAAUAACUGUAAUAUUUCCAUUGGCAAAACGCCACUUAUUCAUAAGAUCGUACCGUAGAAAAUCGCGUAGCAUAGAUACAAGAUCGUACGUGCGUAUAUAAAAGCGAGUUCCAAUUUGAUCAUUUACACUCGCGACCUACUGUAUCGCGGACAUGCGCAUUCCAUCGUUGCAAGCACAAUGCUCUUAAAUUUUAUUUUUGCACUAUGUGACUCCGAUGAAAGAGGGUGCCGUCACACUCGUAUAGUUCGCCGAUUAUUCAUGUAUGAGCUACGAUUUUGAGAUCGAAGCUAUUACCCUCGGAUAUCUAUAGUUCAGAAUCUUCACAUUUCUUCUUUUCUGCAAAAUGCUGGAGUAAUUUGAAAUUUUAUAUCUCUUUCCUUAAUAUAGUAAAUCUAUAAAUUUUACAUUGCAAUUUCUAGAAUUCGUAGGAAGAAAAUGAAAGGUUCUGAGAGUAUCUUGUAAGUCAUGAAUUAUAUCGCUUUAGUUAAUAGAAACAAGACAAUAAAAAGAAACUUAAAAUAUCUGCAAUUAUGUUUGGACUUAACUGCAAUUUAGACUGCAAAACU